AAGAAGAUGGCUGAGAGGUUUAAAGCGACAGUUUGCUAAAUUGUUAUGUUAUAAUUAAUAAUAUCAUGGGUUCGAAUCCCCUUCUUCUUA
RNAcentral lists this transfer RNA (90 nucleotides) under Neorhodomela munita. RNAcentral's name for it is "tRNA-Ser". It matches the Rfam family "tRNA". Rfam says of the family: Transfer RNA (tRNA) molecules are approximately 80 nucleotides in length. Their secondary structure includes four short double-helical elements and three loops (D, anti-codon, and T loops). Further hydrogen bonds mediate the characteristic L-shaped molecular structure. tRNAs have two regions of fundamental functional importance: the anti-codon, which is responsible for specific mRNA codon recognition, and the 3' end, to which the tRNAs corresponding amino acid is attached (by aminoacyl-tRNA synthetases). tRNAs cope with the degeneracy of the genetic code in two manners: having more than one tRNA (with a specific anti-codon) for a particular amino acid; and 'wobble' base-pairing, i.e. permitting non-standard base-pairing at the 3rd anti-codon position. The record is from RNAcentral. Lineage: Eukaryota; Rhodophyta; Florideophyceae; Ceramiales; Rhodomelaceae.